RNAcentral lists this ribosomal RNA (460 nucleotides) under uncultured bacterium. RNAcentral describes it as "partial 16S ribosomal RNA". It matches the Rfam family "Bacterial small subunit ribosomal RNA", at positions 338 to 795 of the family's 1533-position model. The record is from RNAcentral.
CCUACGGGGGGCAGCAGUGAGGAAUAUUGGUCAAUGGACGAGAGUCUGAACCAGCCAAGUAGCGUGAAGGAUGACUGCCCUAUGGGUUGUAAACUUCUUUUAUCUGGGAAUAAAACGUUUCACGUGUGGGAUUUUGUAUGUACCAUAUGAAUAAGGAUCGGCUAACUCCGUGCCAGCAGCCGCGGUAAUACGGAGGGUCCGGGCGUUAUCCGGAUUUAUUGGGUUUAAAGGGAGCGUAGGCGGAUUGGUAAGUCAGUUGUGAAAUUUGGCGGCUCAACCGUAGAAUUGCAGUUGAAACUGGCAGUCUUGAGUACGGUAGAGGUAGGCGGAAUUCGUGGUGUAGCGGUGAAAUGCUUAGAUAUCACGAAGAACUCCGAUUGCGAAGGCAGUUCACUGGACUGCAACUGACGCUGAGGCUCGAAAGUGUGGGUAUCGAACAGGAUUAGAUACCCGAGUAGUC